AUGCCCAAGAAUAAAGGUAAAGGAGGUAAAAAUAGACGCAGGGGUAAGAAUGAGAAUGAAUCUGAAAAAAGAGAACUGGUAUUCAAAGAGGAUGGUCAGGAGUAUGCUCAGGUAAUCAAAAUGUUGGGAAAUGGACGGCUAGAAGCAAUGUGUUUCGAUGGUGUAAAGAGGUUAUGUCACAUCAGAGGAAAAUUGAGAAAAAAGGUUUGGAUAAAUACCUCGGACAUUAUUUUGGUUGGUCUCCGAGACUACCAGGAUAACAAAGCUGAUGUAAUUUUAAAAUACAAUGCAGACGAAGCUAGAAGUCUGCAGGCAUACGGCGAGCUUCCAGAGCAUGCUAAAAUCAAUGAAACUGAUACAUUUGGUCCUGGAGAUGAUGAUGAAAUUCAGUUUGAUGACAUUGGAGAUGAUGAUGAAGAUAUUGAUGACAUCUAA
This 435-nucleotide long non-coding RNA is filed under the name Homo sapiens (human). Its description in RNAcentral is "non-protein coding lnc-NBPF1-4:7". Lineage: Eukaryota; Metazoa; Chordata; Mammalia; Primates; Hominidae. The record is from RNAcentral.